CAGCAGCCGCGGUAAUACGAAGGGUGCAAGCGUUAAUCGGAAUUACUGGGCGUAAAGCGUGCGUAGGCGGUUUGUUAAGUCUGCUGUGAAAUCCCCGGGCUCAACCUGGGAAUGGCAGUGGAUACUGGCAAGCUAGAGUGUGUCAGAGGAUGGUGGAAUUCCCGGUGUAGCGGUGAAAUGCGUAGAGAUCGGGAGGAACAUCAGUGGCGAAGGCGGCCAUCUGGGACAACACUGACGCUGAGGCACGAAAGCGUGGGGAGCAAACAGGAUUAGAUACCCCAGUAGUCCCUGUCUUUUAUAC
This 301-nucleotide ribosomal RNA is filed under the name uncultured bacterium. Its description in RNAcentral is "partial 16S ribosomal RNA". It matches the Rfam family "Bacterial small subunit ribosomal RNA", at positions 509 to 809 of the family's 1533-position model. The record is from RNAcentral.